This 498-nucleotide ribosomal RNA is filed under the name uncultured bacterium. RNAcentral's name for it is "bacterial SSU rRNA". It matches the Rfam family "Bacterial small subunit ribosomal RNA", at positions 28 to 516 of the family's 1533-position model. The record is from RNAcentral.
GAUGAACGCUAGCGAUAGGCCUAACACAUGCAAGUCGAGGGGCAUCACGUGAAGUAGCAAUACGGAUGGUGGCGACCGGCGCACGGGUGAGUAACACGUAUGCAACCUGCCUUCAACAAGGGGAUAACCCGUUGAAAAACGGACUAAUACCCUAUAAUACAGGGGUCCCGCAUGGGGAUAUUUGUUAAAGAUUGAUCGGUUGAAGAUGGGCAUGCGUUCCAUUAGCUGGUUGGUGAGGUAACGGCUCACCAAGGCAACGAUGGAUAGGGGAACUGAGAGGUUUAUCCCCCACACUGGUACUGAGACACGGACCAGACUCCUACGGGAGGCAGCAGUGAGGAAUAUUGGUCAAUGGACGCAAGUCUGAACCAGCCACGUCGCGUGAAGGAAGACGGCCCUACGGGUUGUAAACUUCUUUUGUAAGGGAAUAAAGUGCCCCACGCGUGGGGUUUUGCAUGUACCGUAUGAAUAGGAUCGGCUAACUCCGUGCCAGCAGCC